RNAcentral lists this long non-coding RNA (226 nucleotides) under Elaeis guineensis (African oil palm). RNAcentral describes it as "long non-coding RNA (EGUI_LNC021863)". Lineage: Eukaryota; Viridiplantae; Streptophyta; Magnoliopsida; Arecales; Arecaceae. The record is from RNAcentral.
UAGGGAGGUUAUGAUGAUUUUGAAAUAUCUUUUUGUUGAUUCAAUUGUUUCUAAUAGCAAUAAUCUUGGACGGCCUUCUUCUAUAGGCAAUCGAUUGUUGUUGUUUUGAUUUAGUUGUUGAUGAAAUAUUAAAUCUGAGCCUCCUCUUCCUCUUCCUUUCUUUAAUGUUCUAACUAUUUUUAAAUUUUUUUAUGAUUAAUAUAAGGUUUCAUUAUAUGAUAUAGAU